UGCUGACCUGAUUUAAUCAGUUAGAUAUCGGAUCUACUGAUUUAGAAGAGACCUCAACUCAAAUCUUCUCAUUAAAUAUUAAGUCUAAAGGUCUUCCACCAUUGUAGAGAUGCGAGUACUUUCCUAGCAUUGAUCAUUCUCGACUGGUUACAGUUGUUUGAUUACAACAAAAAAGUACAACCACUCUAUUGAUAUUUAA
Molecule: long non-coding RNA, 199 nt
Filed under: Elaeis guineensis (African oil palm)
Lineage: Eukaryota; Viridiplantae; Streptophyta; Magnoliopsida; Arecales; Arecaceae
Description: long non-coding RNA (EGUI_LNC059957)
Source: RNAcentral